UACGUAGGGGGCAAGCGUUAUCCAGAUUUACUGGGCGUAAAGCGCGUGUAGGCGGCUGGUUAGGUGUGAUGUGAAAUCUUCCGGCUCAACCGGAAAACUGCAUUGCAAACCGGCCUGGCUAGAGUGCAGGAGAGGGAAGCGGAAUUCCUGGUGUAGCGGUGAAAUGCGUAGAUAUCAGGAGGAACACCUGUGGCGAAAGCGGCUCACUGGACCACAACUGACGCUGAGGCGCGAAAGCUAGGGGAGCAAACAGG
RNAcentral lists this ribosomal RNA (254 nucleotides) under uncultured bacterium. Its description in RNAcentral is "partial 16S ribosomal RNA". It matches the Rfam family "Bacterial small subunit ribosomal RNA", at positions 524 to 776 of the family's 1533-position model. The record is from RNAcentral.